GAAAGCCGUGUGCGGGAAAUCCGCAUGCACGGUUUGACGGGGAGUCCGAGGGAGUAAUCCCUCGUCUUACCCUAC
This is a non-coding RNA of Paenibacillus stellifer, 75 nucleotides long. The record is from Rfam. NCBI's taxonomy places the organism in Bacteria, Bacillati, Bacillota, Bacilli, Caryophanales, Paenibacillaceae.